AUGCUUAUUUUCAGUAAAAAAUUUUCAUCGAUUAUUUUAAUUUGGAUAUUUCAAUAUUGCAGCAAGAUAAGUUUGAACAGGAAUCAAUAUAUUAACGAAUUUGAAACCGACGUUCUAUAUUCAAAGCACAAUCGAGUGUUAGCAGAUAGAAGAUUGCCGAACAAUGAAAGUUAUAUAGGUCAAAGUAUUAAAGUUAGAGGAGGGAUGCCAAAUAGAACAAGGUCACCUUACGAAGACGAGUUUGAAACUGUAGAUGAAAUAGAAAAUGACAAUAUAGAAACUGCUUAUAAAGCAAGAGAAAGUAAUGUAAAAUAUAAUGUUAAUGUAGAAGAUGAAGAAGAAAUCAUAUAUACAACAUUUCCAAAUAUGGGUACUGGUUGUGAAUAUGCAGAAGAAUUUUUUUAUAAUACAUCAAAUACAAGACAAAGAUUAAUUUCAGGUUUCUUUAGAACACUUAAAAAAAUAGACAAAAAAUAUGAAAAACAAUUGUUUAAAAUGUUUGCUUUUAUAGACAAUAUGAAAAAUGAUCCUAAUAUACCAGCAUCAAAACGUUAUAUAGAAGCGUUUAAACAAAUGAAUGCACUAUCAAAUCCAUUAUUGGCUGCCGCUUUAAUUAAUGUAAUUGUUUUUAUCUCAGCAUCAGCAGCUCCGUCAGUUACAUCGCUCGCUCUUUUAAAUGGUAUUUUUGGUGCUUAUGUUUAUAAAAAACAUAAUAAAUACAAAAAACAGCGAACACGUAUGUAACAUAAAAAGGUUUAUAAGAGUACAUGAGAUUAUUAUAUUUUAUUUGUUUUAAAAAAAAAUUAAUUUCUUAUAUAUUAAGACUAUUUUUAUUUUAUUUUAAAUACAUGCAUUUAUUGUGCGUUAAGUAAUUAUGUUAUUAAUAUUUACACGUAUAUAUAUAUAUAUAUAUAUAUAUAUAUAUACACUUUUUAAAAUUAAAUUGUUAUUGUGUACUAGUACUAAUUGAAACAUAGGUAAUUGUAAGUUUAUUUAUAUCUUUUAUGUUAAGCGAUUUUUAUGUUCAUGUAUCAUUGUGCAUUUGUAUUAAUAUAAUAUUAUUAAUUAUUUAUAUUAAUAUUCAUAUAUACAUAAAUACAUAUAUAUAAAUAUUUAUAAUAUAUUUUAUUAUUGUUGUAACUUUUUAAAUUGUGCUUAUUUAAUAAACAAAAUUCAUUUUUAUUCA
RNAcentral lists this long non-coding RNA (1186 nucleotides) under Piliocolobus tephrosceles (Ugandan red Colobus). Its description in RNAcentral is "lncRNA (ENSPTEG00000029874.1)". Lineage: Eukaryota; Metazoa; Chordata; Mammalia; Primates; Cercopithecidae. The record is from RNAcentral.